AUGAGGUUCCCUGCUCAACUCCUGGGGCUUCUCCUGCUCUGGGUCCCAGGAUCCAGUGGGGACAUUGUGCUGACCCAGAAUCCACUCUCCCUGUCUGUCAUCCCUGGAAAGAUGGCGUCCAUCUCCUGCAGAGCCAGUCAGAGCCUUGAAGAUAGUUAUGGAGACACUUAUUUGAGCUGGCACCUGCAGAAGCCUGGCCAGUCUCCACAGCUCCUGAUCUAUUUGGUUUCCAAUCGGGCCUCUGGGGUGCCAGACAGGUUCAUUGGCAGUGGGUCAGGGACAGAUUUCACCCUUAAAAUCAGCAGGGUGGAGGCUGAGGAUGCUGGAGUUUAUUACUGCCAGCAGAGUAUACAAGAACCUCCCACAGUGGUACAGCUCUGA
Molecule: non-coding RNA, 381 nt
Organism: Cervus elaphus (red deer)
Lineage: Eukaryota; Metazoa; Chordata; Mammalia; Artiodactyla; Cervidae
Source: the annotation of a RefSeq genome assembly